This 231-nucleotide long non-coding RNA is filed under the name Ictidomys tridecemlineatus (thirteen-lined ground squirrel). RNAcentral describes it as "lncRNA (ENSSTOG00000031027.1)". Lineage: Eukaryota; Metazoa; Chordata; Mammalia; Rodentia; Sciuridae. The record is from RNAcentral.
GUGGAUUCUGGAGAUGACGUCAGCACUCUCGAGUACCCAGGGAGGUAAGACCAACCUUGACCAUCGCCACUGAGUAUCACAAUACCAGAGAUUUCUGUGAAUCUUCCCACUCCACUGGAAUUUACCAAUGCAAGAAUAUGAUCCCAUGAAAAUACCACUGGUUUUGGAUUGUUAAAAACAAAGGCAGCUGCUUCCUUUCCUGUGUAAGACUGAAGAUGGGAUGUUUGUGUU